AGCAAUACCUGCUCCCUCCAUCUCCUGCCUUUCCAGCAAUAGAUAUUUUCUCAAAUCCUGCCUUUCCAGCAAUACCUGUUUCUUCCAUCUCCUACCUUUCCAGCAAUAGGAGCUUCCUCAUCUCCUGCCUUUCCAGCAACAGGUAUUUUCUCAAAUCCUGCCUUUCCAGCAAUAGGUGCUUCCUCAUCUGCCUUUCCAGCAAUAAGUGCUUCCUCAUCUCCUGCUUUUCCAGCAAUACCUGCUCCCUCCAUCAGCUACCUUUCCAGCAAUACCUGCUCCCUCCCAUCUCCAAAGGCCAAGGCAGGUCUGGCACUGGUGCCUUGGUGUUGGGUGUGAGGCAGGAGCUGCAGAAGGAACAAGCAGUGAUGGGUGUUCCGUGUCUGUCCUCGAGUGUUUGGAAGUCCUGAGGUAUCUACAAAUCAACUGGUGUUUAGGAAAAGGCAUCUUAAAGAUGCUCCUGUCUCUGUUCUCUGUUUCUCCUCCCCUCUGUCCUGAAAAUGUGGGGUUUUCCCCAGCACCCCCCAGGUUGAUUCUGUCCAUCAGAGCAGCAGCUUGGCUACACCCCAGCACUGAAACCAGAGUCUGUUUAAUUUGUUAUUAGAAGUUUCCAGAGGGAAAUGGUUUCGAGGACCUUGUGGAGGGAAGGGAUGAGAAAAAGAAUUGUGGGGGGAAACGUUCUCAAGUUGCCCAUGUUCUGUCUGGGGUUUAUCUCCAUAGUUAGUGAUCUAAAUCUCUGGUUUUUAGCAAUUUAUUUGGCAGCCCAGGGGCAGGAGCAGCAUUCCUGCUCCUUGUUGGAGCCACACUGAGCUCUGUUCCUGUCUGCUGAACCCAGCAGACCACAAGGUUUCGCUGGACCAGCAGCAACUUUUCCCUGGUUCCACUUUAAACACAGCCAUAACAAUCCCUCUGUGGUUUUGCCUUUCUCUUGGACUCUGUUUUUCCACUCUGUUCCACGUGGUUCCAGCAGGGUGCUGUUGGCUCUGCUUUUGUUGUCAGCCCCACGACUGGGUUUCUUGCUUUUCAAGAACUUUGGCCAAGUGAUUUUCUUUUCUCCUUGGCUGCUCCUUCUGGUCACAGGCUGGGCCAGAAGAACCACCAGGGUUUAUCCUUUAACUGGAACAAACCUGAAGGGAUGUGGGUUCUCAAGUGUAGACUCAGCCUUAUGACUCAUCUGUGAAGAAACCACCGUGUGUUUUGUGUCUCAUGGGGUGGAAAAAACAUCCCAAAGUGGGAAAAGAAGCAUCAGGGAGGGUUUGGAGUUGUUGAUUUCCCUGUACUUCACGUACCAAGGAAGUGGGUUCUGUGCGUUUCAUGUUUUAAUAGUUGCAACUAAUGUUUAUAAAGAGCUUGUUAUUUACGUUUUCAGCACUUUAAAGAAGAAAAAAAAAAUAAAAGUUGUUCAAGCUGUUCCUA
Molecule: long non-coding RNA, 1413 nt
Organism: Chiroxiphia lanceolata (lance-tailed manakin)
Lineage: Eukaryota; Metazoa; Chordata; Aves; Passeriformes; Pipridae
Exons: 2
Source: RefSeq, a predicted model, not a curated record